Molecule: long non-coding RNA, 491 nt
Filed under: Citrus maxima (pomelo)
Lineage: Eukaryota; Viridiplantae; Streptophyta; Magnoliopsida; Sapindales; Rutaceae
Description: long non-coding RNA (CMAX_LNC002300)
Source: RNAcentral
GACUGUCCCCUCUUUUGUAGCACACAAUUUUCUCGUUGAUUCUUUAUUUUUUGACAGGUAUUCGGCUAAUCUUUUUGAGAUUUGGCGCCAGUCUAUCUCUUGACAUUUUUACGAAUAUUUUUUCUAACCUUUUUGCCCUUGCUCGGUGUACUCCAGGUACCCCACAGAGCAUCCGGGGUAAGCCAAUUUAUUAAUAUCGACACGUGGUGCUUUGUCAUUGUGCUUUCUAUUUCCUUCCCAAACAACAUCCCCUUAGUUUCUUUGUGGCGAAUGUAAUUGAGGCAAAAGAAACUCUUAGAGGAGCUGAGGAUGAUACGUGGCGAUAUUUGGCCCCUCUUUCUGAAAUAAAUAGGGUACGUUUUUACUUUUUGCUUUAUUUUCGCUUUCAUUUGUAAUUCCUAAAAAAAAAUUUCCUUCCUCUUUAUUAAUCAUUCUGCAAUACCUCCUCAUCUUUUUUUUUUUCCUUUGGCUUUCCUUUGAUUUUAUUUCCU